CCUACGGGAGGCAGCAGUGAGGAAUAUUGGUCAAUGGACGAGAGUCUGAACCAGCCAAGUAGCGUGAAGGAUGACUGCCCUAUGGGUUGUAAACUUCUUUUAUAUGGGAAUAAAAUGUUCCACGUGUGGGAUUUUGUAUGUACCAUAUGAAUAAGGAUCGGCUAACUACGUGCCAGCAGCCGCGGUAAUACGGAGGAUCCGAGCGUUAUCCGGAUUUAUUGGGUUUAAAGGGGGCGUAGGUGGAUUGUUAAGUCAGUUGUGAAAGUUUGCGGCUCAACCGUAAAAUUGCAGUUGAAACUGGCAGUCGUGAGUACAGUAGAGGUGGGCGGAAUUCGUGGUGUAGCGGUGAAAUGCUUAGAUAUCACGAAGAACUCCGAUUGCGAAGGCAGCUCACUGGACUGCAACUGACACUGAGGCUCGAAAGUGUGGGUAUCAAACAGGAUUAGAUACCCGUGUAGUC
Molecule: ribosomal RNA, 460 nt
Filed under: uncultured bacterium
Lineage: Bacteria
Description: partial 16S ribosomal RNA
Rfam family: Bacterial small subunit ribosomal RNA
Source: RNAcentral